GUUUUGCGUUAGUGAUGGAAACGGCAUCCUUUUGCCUAAGCAAAAGAUAUAGUGUACAGCACGACAAUAC
RNAcentral lists this small RNA (70 nucleotides) under Oceanihabitans sediminis. RNAcentral's name for it is "Flavo-1 RNA". It matches the Rfam family "Flavo-1 RNA". Lineage: Bacteria; Pseudomonadati; Bacteroidota; Flavobacteriia; Flavobacteriales; Flavobacteriaceae. The record is from RNAcentral.